ACGCUGGCGGCACGCCUAACACAUGCAAGUCGAACGAAGUAGCAAUACUUAGUGGCAGACGGGUGAGUAACAUGUAGGUAUCUACCCUUUGGCCUGGAAUAACACGAGGAAACUUGUGCUAAUACCGGAUAAGUCUUUACGGAGAAAGCUUUAUGCACCAUUGGAUGAGCCUGCACUUGAUUAGUUUGUUGGUGGGGUAAUGGCCUACCAAGACUGUGAUCAAUAGCUGAUUUGAGAGGAUGAUCAGCCACAUUGGGACUGAGACACGGCCCAAACUCCUACGGGAGGCAGCAGUGGGGAAUCUUGCACAAUGGAGGAAACUCUGAUGCAGCGAUGCCGCGUGAGUGAAGAAGGCCCUUGGGUUGUAAAGCUCUUUCGUCGGGGAAGAAAAUGACUGUACCCGAAUAAGAAGGUCCGGCUAACUUCGUGCCAGCAGCCGCGGUAAUACGAAGGGACCUAGCGUAGUUCGGAAUUACUGGGCUUAAAGAGUUCGUAGGUGGUUGAAAAAGUUAGUGGUGAAAUCCCAGAGCUUAACUCUGGAACUGCCAUUAAAACUUUUCAGCUAGAGUAUGAUAGAGGAAAGCAGAAUUUCUAGUGUAGAGGUGAAAUUCGUAGAUAUUAGAAAGAAUACCAAUUGCGAAGGCAGCUUUCUGGAUCAUUACUGACACUGAGGAACGAAAGCAUGGGUAGCGAAGAGGAUUAGAUACCCUCGUAGUCCAUGCCGUAAACGAUGUGUGUUAGACGUUGGAAAUUUAUUUUCAGUGUCGCAGCGAAAGCGAUAAACACACCGCCUGGGGAGUACGACCGCAAGGUUAAAACUCAAAUGAAUUGACGGGGACCCGCACAAGUAGUGGAGCAUGUGGUUUAAUUCGAAGAUACGCGCAGAACCUUACCAACACUUGACAUGUUCGUCGCGACUCUAAGAGAUUAGAGUUUUCGGUUCGGCCGGACGAAACACAGGUGCUGCAUGGCUGUCGUCAGCUCGUGUCGUGAGAUGUUGGGUUAAGUCCCGCAACGAGCGCAACCCUCACUUUUAGUUGCCAUCAUUAAGUUGGGCACUCUGAAAGAACUGCCAGUGAUAAGCUGGAGGAAGGUGGGGAUGACGUCAAGUCCUCAUGGCCCUUACGUGUUGGGCUACACACGUGCUACAAUGGUAUCUACAACAGGAAGCAAGACUGCGAGGUCAAGCAAAUCCUUAAAAGAUACCUCAGUUCGGAUUGCACUCUGCAACUCGAGUGCAUGAAGCUGGAAUUACUAGUAAUCGUGGAUCAGCGUGCCACGGUGAAUGCGUUCCCGGGUCUUGUACACACCGCCCGUCACACCAUGGGAGUUGGUUCUACCUUAAGGCAAGGUUUCAAACCCUUGACCACGGUAUAGUCAGCGACUGGGGUG
This 1392-nucleotide ribosomal RNA is filed under the name uncultured marine bacterium. Its description in RNAcentral is "16S ribosomal RNA". It matches the Rfam family "Bacterial small subunit ribosomal RNA". The record is from RNAcentral.